This is a long non-coding RNA of Fukomys damarensis (Damara mole-rat), 274 nucleotides long. RefSeq lists it as uncharacterized. The transcript is spliced from 3 exons. Lineage: Eukaryota; Metazoa; Chordata; Mammalia; Rodentia; Bathyergidae. The record is from RefSeq and is a predicted model, not a curated record.
GAAGCUCCUCCAGUCUCCCUGGAAUUCUGGUGCUCCAACUGCUGGAUGAGGUGGGGCUGGAGGUCCAUCCAGCUCUCCAGGCUGAGCUCCUGCAUCUCUUUCCUAUGGGGUGGGCAUUGCAAAGACCUCUUCACGUUUGUCUUUCCUGUGGAUGUUUCCACAAAAUUUACCUCCACUUUCUGCAAGCUGGGCUGCCCUCCAUCUAGAAUCAACACUGUCAGAAAAAAACCCAUCCUCCUUCAGCCUCCCCUGUCCACAGCUGCCUUCUGCAAUG